RNAcentral lists this ribosomal RNA (467 nucleotides) under uncultured Oomycota. RNAcentral's name for it is "LSU rRNA". It matches the Rfam family "Eukaryotic large subunit ribosomal RNA", at positions 326 to 629 of the family's 3401-position model. Lineage: Eukaryota; Oomycota. The record is from RNAcentral.
GUGCGAGACCGAUAGCGAACAAGUACCGUGAGGGAAAGAUGAAAAGAACUUUGAAAAGAGAGUUAAAGAGUACCUGAAACUGCUGAAAGGGAAGCGAAUCGUAUCCAGUGUCUAUAAUCUGCGGCAUAUUUCAUCGGCGGCGGUGCGCGUGCUUUUGCGUCGGAAGCGGCCUUUGUUGCUCUGUGCUUUUGCUGUGCGUGGUGUUGCUGGUGCCCUGUGUUGCGGUGGGACGUCAGAGUCAGUUUGUAUGCUGCGGGAAAUGGCUGCCGAGGAGGUAGGUCGAGAUUUCGGUCUUGGCUGUUAUAUCUUGGUGGUUUGUUGUCGUGGUUGAGACUGAGGUGCCUACAACGUGCUUUUGAGUGUACCGGGUUCUCAUUUGGUGGACUGUUUGGAUAGCUUGCUAUGCUUGUGGUUUUUUCAUCGGGUGAUUGAGUCUGGUGGUAACUUGUUGCUGUUCGGGACUUUGA